This 1965-nucleotide long non-coding RNA is filed under the name Olea europaea subsp. europaea. Lineage: Eukaryota; Viridiplantae; Streptophyta; Magnoliopsida; Lamiales; Oleaceae. The record is from RNAcentral.
GGGGGAAUUAAAAUCUUGUUGCUCAAUUGGCUACUACAUACCAUACAUCCUGAUAAUAACAAUGGCAAAAAAGGAGGAAAUGAGGCAAAUGAUUCAACAACAAAAGGGGCAUAUGAUCACUCCAUUCUCAUUACAAUCAGAACAAUCUAUGGAUUCAACGUUCCCCUCCCGAAUAAUUUUUCGACUUCCAUUGCAAUUGAAACACAUAAUAAACCUUAUUCCAGCACAGCCUUCACAUGGACCUUCAGAUCUGUUAAUGGCAAUUCCUUCGAAGAGUGGCUUAAGCUUUCCUUUUUCAUGCAAUCCCAAAACCUCCUCUGCUCCACCUAUGUACAUCCCUUUAAUAAAAAGCCUUGGAGGCACCACUUUUCCACCCAAAAUCCUCCACAAUUCUUCCUUAAACUCUGAAUGCAUCGAAAUAUCCCUCUCGUAAAACAAAAUCUUUAAAUUCUGCAAUAGGGACCUAAGCCUAUGACAAUCCUCGAAUGUCUUUCGUAUUCCUCUAAGCCCCGUUGUGUAGAGAAUAACUGAAUCGCUUCCCCCUGGUGGACACUUUUCUUCGAAUUCUAGUAGAGAACCAUUUUCUUCCUCGAUUUUCCGUGUUUUUAACGGUGGCGGUACUGGUUCCUGAUAAUCCAAAAUUCCCCUUUUCUUUUCCUCAAUUCUGGAUGUUCUCUCUGCCUCUUGGGCUUUAACUUCAGUAAUUGCCUGCUCAAAUGCUGCAAGAAGGUUAGGGUCAAAAAGGGUUCCAGAAUCUAAAUCCGGCUGCCUGAAACAUAAUAUAUCAAUCUCCGACAGAGGAAUAUCCUCUCUCUCCUCUCCUACAAUUUGAUUAGUUUCACAAACCUCAUUCUGUUGUUUAGAUGAAUGAACAAUCUCCAGUUUUUCUUCAAAAUUAUUCGGGAUCUUCGACUUUAUUGCUGGCCUAACGUUUUCUUUAUCAUUGAAUUCAUCGUCAAACUCCAUUUCUUGAUCUUCCAGGUCCUUCAUUAGCUCUGAUACAUCAAUGAUCUCUGGUUCUUGUACUGGAACUCUGAUCUCAACACAUUUGUUGGGUGCUUCUUGGAUUUGCACGAGGGCAGGAGGAGCCGAGGAAUUUGAUUUCGGUGAUGAAGUGUAGAGGCUUUCAUUCAAUUCAUUUACCCGAAGAACUUUUUCUGGCUUCAAGUAACCAAUUGUCUUGAAAGUCUUCAAUUUUUUUAGUAGCUUCCCUUUCAUCCCCUUGAUAUUUUUUUCCAUCUGGAUACUGCUUUCAAAAAUUACGAGGUCUAAAUUCAAGAUUUGCAGAGAUAACAAAGGAUUUGAGCGUGGAAGAAGUAUAAGGUAAAUUUGGGUUUAAUAGGUUGGAGAAAUUAAGAACAGAUACUACUUUAUUUUUUAGGCGUUACAAAAUACAGGGAGUGAGAGAGUUAACGGCUAUAAUGAUUUUUGUGGAUUUUAAAGUUUAAAAACGAUUUGGUGGGAGGACGUGCACGGCGGAUGGAGUGGACCAGAAAUGGUUCUGUUACCAUGUGUUGUGUUCAUGGAAUAUAAAUGAGUUUUGCUAGUUGCACACUCCCUCGUAAGAGGGGGGUCGGCGAUUUUUUUUAUUAAAUGCUCACAAGAGGGGCACUCGCGAUUUUUUUAUUGGAUGCGGGCCCUCCUUUUUGUGAGAGGGCUAUACACCGAGCACAACCAACAAAAUUCAAUAAAAAUAGACCUAAUUACUUGAGAAAUACUGUAUAUUUGAAGAAAAAUACGAUCUCAAAUUUAAUAUUUCCUUUUCUUUUAAAAAAAAAAAAAUUUACUUCAUGCCCUAAUUAACAUGAAUCUAAGAAACUAAAUCCCACGUAAUAUGUCAUACUCUUAAAUUUCUUAUCCAACAAUUAAUUACAAACCAAUCUAAGAGUAAUCAUAUUCAUAGUCAAUUAUCACAGUAGACAUUUUAUGUGACAACUUGUUAUUUGAGGUAACAUAAUUACAGAA